RNA transcript from Triticum aestivum (bread wheat), 1466 nucleotides. RefSeq lists it as uncharacterized. The record is from RefSeq and is a predicted model, not a curated record. Lineage: Eukaryota; Viridiplantae; Streptophyta; Magnoliopsida; Poales; Poaceae. The transcript is spliced from 4 exons.
UCUCCAGCCGGACUAUAUUUUUUUCCAAGCGACGGUUGGCAAACCCACUCUUUUCGUCAAAGAAAAAAAAGGAAAUGAACGGAUAACCUCCGUAGUUCUUGGAUCGAAAGCGGCGAGCAGUUUCGGCGGCGACGGAGAGAGGUGUCGGCGGCGAGCUCGUGGUAGCUGCUGGUCGACCCCUGAUGAGUGCGGCACUGGGGGUGGAAGGUUGGCCGGAGGCAGCAGCGAGGCGAGCUGUGCUGCAGGAGGCUUCGCGGCGGGUGACGGCUUCGCCCGCCGGCGGCCGUGUCGCAGUCUGCAUCGAUCCCCAGCCCCCUUCGUUGCUCGUGGCGAUGGUCCCCUGCUUCCACGCUUGGAAGGCCAUCGACUCGUAAGUCUACAAGCUGUCCCACGGCUGCCUUCAUUUCCACCCAGGUUUUAGGUUACUCAAGAUCAACUGAGUGCACUAGGCAUACAUAGUUGCAAAACGAUUCUGGAUUUUUGCUUGGUAAAUUUUCUGGAAUUACUAAUUUGUGCAUGUAUCGGUCAGCAAUCAAAAUCAUUUGUUGAUCGAGAAGUCCAAAAAUAGUAAGGUCCGUUCUCUUAACUGAAUUUUUAACUUUGCUCCCUAUUGUAUAUAUAUUCACACGAGAAGCAGGUAUUUAAUUGGGAAAAAAUCCUGGGAUUUUAAUUAGUAAUUUGCUGGUAUAGAAAGAUGGAUCUGUUAUUAAUAGACAUCAAGUAGUUCUUACGUUUCCUAUAGACAAUUCAUUGAGGAUAGGAACAUUGCAUGGAAAUUGAUUUUAUAAAUUAUUACAGAGAUAGCUAAUGAAACUAGAGUUGUACUCCGUAUUAGAACUGUUGCUCUUUAAGGUGUUUUGACUAUUGAGGUUUACUCUGGGUGUUGAAGUGCAACAAUUACUUCUCCCUGGAGGAUCUCUAUACUUUUGCAUGUUUGUAGUAUAUAAUAUCUGGUGUUCCUUCUUUUAAGUUUUUAAUUGUCAAAUUUCAUGUUGUUCUUGUUCCUGUUUGCUCUUUAUCCAAAUCUUCCUGGGAUUUAAAUCAGAAAGGAUGCUCAAUGGGACUUGGUCACGCCGAGAUAUCAGCAGCAAUCGGCACCGACAAAGCUCAAUUAUCUAUUGCAUAUUCAGAAGAAAGCAUCUCCUGUCGACAAUCAAGGCACUAUGACAGGUAGCUCAAGCCUAAGAUGCAAACAUCUCUAGGAAUGGAGUUGCUGACGGUAUGCAAAGAAUGAGACAAUGGUGAUGGUCAGGAUCGAUGUGUCAAGCAUCUGAGACAUAUCGACGUCAAGACAUGGAAGGGGGCUCUCUGCCCUUAUAGAUAGGCCUUCUUACCAUGCUGAAUUACCAACCUGCACAAUUAAUGUGUAUCGAAAUUAACUUUGGAAGAACAUUAAGCAUGCAAACAUAGCUGUGGAGAAUCCUUGAAACAUCUUACCUGCAAUGUUAACUUAAACCUUCUGGAUC